UGGCGGACGGGUGAGUAAUGUCUGGGAAACUGCCUGAUGGAGGGGGAUAACUACUGGAAACGGUAGCUAAUACCGCAUAACGUCGCAAGACCAAAGAGGGGGACCUUCGGGCCUCUUGCCAUCGGAUGUGCCCAGAUGGGAUUAGCUAGUAGGUGGGGUAACGGCUCACCUGGCGACGAUCCCUAGCUGGUCUGAGAGGAUGACCAGCCACACUGGAACUGAGACACGGUCCAG
This 234-nucleotide ribosomal RNA is filed under the name uncultured bacterium. RNAcentral's name for it is "partial 16S ribosomal RNA". It matches the Rfam family "Bacterial small subunit ribosomal RNA", at positions 96 to 334 of the family's 1533-position model. The record is from RNAcentral.